Molecule: ribosomal RNA, 373 nt
Filed under: uncultured organism
Description: partial 16S ribosomal RNA
Rfam family: Bacterial small subunit ribosomal RNA
Source: RNAcentral
CGUAGGGGGCGAGCGUUGUCCGAAGUUACUGGGCGUAAAGCGCGCGUAGGCGGGGGGUUAAGUGAGAGGUGAAAGGCUGGGGCUCAACCUCAUGCAGUGCCUCUCAUACUGGCUCUCUUGAGGGCGGUAGGGAGAAGUGGAAUGGCUGGUGUAGCGGUGAAAUGCGUAGAUAUCAGUCGGAACACCGGUGGCGAAGGCGGCUUCUUGGGCCGUUCCUGACGCUGAGGCGCGAAAGCUGGGGGAGCGAACGGGAUUAGAUACCCCGGUAGUCCCAGCCGUAAACGAUGGAUACUAGGUGUCGGGGGUAUCGACCCCCCCGGUGCCGCAGCUAACGCAUUAAGUAUCCCGCCUGGGGAGUACGGCCGCAAGGUUG